Molecule: ribosomal RNA, 253 nt
Filed under: uncultured bacterium
Lineage: Bacteria
Description: partial 16S ribosomal RNA
Rfam family: Bacterial small subunit ribosomal RNA
Source: RNAcentral
UACGAAGGGGGCUAGCGUUGUUCGGAAUUACUGGGCGUAAAGCGCACGUAGGCGGACUACUAAGUCAGGGGUGAAAUCCCGGGGCUCAACCCCGGAACUGCCUUUGAUACUGAUAGUCUCGAGUCCGGAAGAGGUGAGUGGAAUUCCGAGUGUAGAGGUGAAAUUCGUAGAUAUUCGCAAGAACACCAGUGGCGAAGGCGGCUCACUGGCCCGGUACUGACGCUGAGGUGCGAAAGCGUGGGGAGCAAACAGG